AUUGAACGCUGGCGGAAUGCUUUACACAUGCAAGUCGAACGGCAGCACGGACUUCGGUCUGGUGGCGAGUGGCGAACGGGUGAGUAAUGUAUAGGAACGUGCCCAGUCGUGGGGGAUAACGUAGUGAAAAUUACGCUAAUACCGCAUACGAUCUAUGGAUGAAAGCGGGGGAUCGCAAGACCUCGCGCGAUUCGAGCGGCCGAUAUCAGAUUAGGUAGUUGGUGGGGUAAAGGCCCACCAAGCCAACGAUCUGUAGCUGGUCUGAGAGGACGACCAGCCACACUGGAACUGAGACACGGUCCAGACUCCUACGGGAGGCAGCAGUGGGGAAUUUUGGACAAUGGGCGAAAGCCUGAUCCAGCCAUUCCGCGUGCAGGAUGAAGGCCCUCGGGUUGUAAACUGCUUUUGUACAGAACGAAAAGGUUUCUACUAAUACUAGGAGCUCACGACGGCACUGUAAGAAUAAGCACCGGCUAACUACGUGCCAGCAGCCGCCGUAA
This 500-nucleotide ribosomal RNA is filed under the name uncultured bacterium. Its description in RNAcentral is "partial 16S ribosomal RNA". It matches the Rfam family "Bacterial small subunit ribosomal RNA", at positions 30 to 523 of the family's 1533-position model. The record is from RNAcentral.